UACCUGAUUGAUCCUGCCAUGAUCCAUAUGCUUGUCUCAAUGCUUGUCUCAA
RNAcentral lists this ribosomal RNA (52 nucleotides) under Mosla dadoensis. RNAcentral describes it as "partial 18S small subunit ribosomal RNA". The record is from RNAcentral. Lineage: Eukaryota; Viridiplantae; Streptophyta; Magnoliopsida; Lamiales; Lamiaceae.